This 404-nucleotide ribosomal RNA is filed under the name Actinomycetes bacterium. Its description in RNAcentral is "Actinobacteria bacterium partial 16S ribosomal RNA". It matches the Rfam family "Bacterial small subunit ribosomal RNA", at positions 355 to 776 of the family's 1533-position model. Lineage: Bacteria; Bacillati; Actinomycetota; Actinomycetes. The record is from RNAcentral.
UGGGGAAUAUUGGACAAUGGGCGCAAGCCUGAUCCAGCCAUGCCGCGUGAGUGAUGAAGGCCCUAGGGUUGUAAAGCUCUUUCACCGGUGAAGAUAAUGACGGUAACCGUAGAAGAAGCCCCGGCUAACUUCGUGCCUGCAGCCGCGGUAAUACGAAGGGGGCUAGCGUUGUUCGGAUUUACUGGGCGUAAAGCGCACGUAGGCGGACUAUUAAGUCAGGGGUGAAAUCCCGGGGCUCAACCCCGGAACUGCCUUUGAUACUGGUAGUCUUGAGUUCGAGAGAGGUGAGUGGAAUUCCGAGUGUAGAGGUGAAAUUCGUAGAUAUUCGGAGGAACACCAGUGGCGAAGGCGGCUCACUGGCUAGAUACUGAAGCUGAGGUGCGAAAGCGUGGGGAGCAAACAGG